GAGAGAGAGAGAGAGAGAGAGCGCAAGCAUCCUUAGAAGCUAUACAUGAAAACCCUGUGACUUCUAAGCCUUGGUGGGGCAGACAGAGGCAAGCACACAAUCUUAGGCUGACACCCGGUUGGAGGAGACGAUUUGGCAGAAGUGGAAGCAAGCCAUCUCUACACAGACAGAAGCGGGACGUCUGCAGCGGGCAUGGUUUUCUCAAAACCCAGGAAGCGAUCCAAAGAAAUAGUGGAUGUGGUGGAACCUGCAGAUAUCCACCAUCUUGUCUUCGGAACCCAUUCCAUGGAGUGGAGGAAAACUUCAGAAGCAGGUUUCCUCCCGAUUUAUGAUUAUAUAGCC
This is a long non-coding RNA of Hemicordylus capensis (graceful crag lizard), 342 nucleotides long. RefSeq lists it as uncharacterized. The record is from RefSeq and is a predicted model, not a curated record. NCBI's taxonomy places the organism in Eukaryota, Metazoa, Chordata, Lepidosauria, Squamata, Cordylidae. The transcript is spliced from 3 exons.